AGAGUUUGAUCAUGGCUCAGAAUCAACGCUGGCGGCGUGCCUCAGACAUGCAAGUCGAACGAGAAAGUUCCCUUCGGGGAGCGAGUAAAGUGGCGCACGGGUGAGUAACACGUAGGUAAUCUACCUUCGGGUGGGGAAUAACCCAGGGAAACUUGGGCUAACACCGCAUAAUGCAGCGGCACCACAUGGUGACAGUUGUUAAAGCGGGGGAUUUUCGGACCUCGCGCCUGAAGAGGAGCCUGCGGCAGAUUAGCUUGUUGGUAAGGUAACGGCUUACCAAGGCGACGAUCUGUAGCCGGCCUGAGAGGGCGGUCGGCCACACUGACACUGACAUACGGGUCAGACUCCUACGGGAGGCAGCAGUCGGGAAUUUUGGGCAAUGGGCGAAAGCCUGACCCAGCAACGCCGCGUGAAGGAUGAAAUCCCUCGGGAUGUAAACUUCGCAAGAAUGGGAAGAAUUAGUAGGGGUCAAUACCCCCUAUGAUGACGGUACCAUUUGUAAGCUCCGGCUAACUCCGUGCCAGCAGCCGCGGUAAUACGGGGGGAGCAAGCGUUGUUCGGAUUUACUGGGCGUAAAGGGCGCGUAGGCGGCCAGCGCAAGUCGGUUGUGAAAUCUCCGGGCUUAACUCGGAAAGGUCAACCGAUACUGCGCGGCUAGAGUGCGGAAGGGGCAACUGGAAUUCUCGGUGUAGCGGUGAAAUGCGUAGAUAUCGAGAGGAACACCUGCGGCGAAGGCGGGUUGCUGGGCCGACACUGACGCUGAUGCGCGAAAGCCAGGGGAGCGAACGGGAUUAGAUACCCCAGUAGUCC
This 810-nucleotide ribosomal RNA is filed under the name uncultured bacterium. RNAcentral's name for it is "bacterial SSU rRNA". It matches the Rfam family "Bacterial small subunit ribosomal RNA", at positions 8 to 796 of the family's 1533-position model. The record is from RNAcentral.